GAUGAAGAACGUAGCGAAAUGCGAUAAGUAAUGUGAAUUGCAGAAUUCAGUGAAUCAUCGAAUCUUUGAACGCACAUUGCGCCCCCUGGCAUUCCGGGGGGCAUGCCUGUUCGAGCGUCAUUACAACCCUCAAGCUCUGCUUGGUAUUGGGCUCUGCUGGGACCGGCAGGCCUUAAAAUCAGUGGCGGCGCCACUCGGCUUCAAGCGUAGUAAUUCUUCUCGCUUCGGAGACCCGGGUGCGUGCUAGCCAGCAACCCCCAACUUUCUUAGGUUGACCUCGGAUCAGGUAGGGAUACCCGCUGAACUUAAGCAUAUCAAUAGCGGAGGA
RNAcentral lists this unclassified non-coding RNA (328 nucleotides) under soil metagenome. Its description in RNAcentral is "partial contains 5.8S ribosomal RNA, internal transcribed spacer 2, and large subunit ribosomal RNA". The stretch from base 1 to 120 matches the Rfam family "5.8S ribosomal RNA", at positions 35 to 154 of the family's 154-position model. The record is from RNAcentral.